Molecule: ribosomal RNA, 253 nt
Filed under: uncultured bacterium
Lineage: Bacteria
Description: partial 16S ribosomal RNA
Rfam family: Bacterial small subunit ribosomal RNA
Source: RNAcentral
UACGUAGGGUGCGAGCGUUGUCCGGAAUUAUUGGGCGUAAAGGGCUCGUAGGCGGUUUGUUGCGUCAGGAGUGAAAACUCGGGGCUUAACCCCGAGCCUGCUUCUGAUACGGGCAGACUAGAGGUAUGCAGGGGAGAACGGAAUUCCUGGUGUAGCGGUGAAAUGCGCAGAUAUCAGGAGGAACACCGGUGGCGAAGGCGGUUCUCUGGGCAUUACCUGACGUGAGGAGCGAAAGUGUGGGGGAGCGAACAGG